This 253-nucleotide ribosomal RNA is filed under the name uncultured bacterium. RNAcentral describes it as "partial 16S ribosomal RNA". It matches the Rfam family "Bacterial small subunit ribosomal RNA", at positions 524 to 776 of the family's 1533-position model. The record is from RNAcentral.
UACGAAGGGGGCGAGCGUUGUUCGGAAUCACUCGGCGUAAAGCGCACGUAGGCGGCGCGUUAAGUCAGGGGUGAAAUCCUGGAGCUCAACUCCAGAACUGCCUUUGAUACUGGCGUGCUCGAGUGUGGGAGAGGUUGGUGGAACUCCGAGUGUAGAGGUGAAAUUCGUAGAUAUUCGGAAGAACACCAGUGGCGAAGGCGGCCAACUGGCCCAUUACUGACGCUGAGGUGCGAAAGCGUGGGGAGCAAACAGG